This 823-nucleotide ribosomal RNA is filed under the name Planopleura kaempferi. Its description in RNAcentral is "SSU rRNA". It matches the Rfam family "Eukaryotic small subunit ribosomal RNA", at positions 52 to 777 of the family's 1831-position model. The record is from RNAcentral. Lineage: Eukaryota; Metazoa; Arthropoda; Insecta; Hemiptera; Cicadidae.
UGCAAGUCUCAGUACAUGCCGCACUAAGGUGAAACCGCAAAAGGCUCAUUAAAUCAGUUAUGGUUCCUUGGAUCUUAAACAGUUACUUGGAUAACUGUGGUAAUUCUAGAGCUAAUACAUGCAAACAAGUCCCGACCAGAGAUGGGAGGGACGCUUUUAUUAGAUCAAAACCGAUCGGCGUCCGGCUCCGGCCGGCGCCGUCUCUUUUGGUGACUCUGGAUAACUUUUAGCCGAUCGCACGGUCAUAGUACCGGCGACGCAUCUUUCAAAUGUCUGACUUAUCAACUGUCGAUGGUAGGCUCUGCGCCUACCAUGGUUGUAACGGGUAACGGGGAAUCAGGGUUCGAUUCCGGAGAGGGAGCCUGAGAAACGGCUACCACAUCCAAGGAAGGCAGCAGGCGCGCAAAUUACCCACUCCCGGCACGGGGAGGUAGUGACGAAAAAUAACGAUACGGGACUCAUCCGAGGCCCCGUAAUCGGAAUGAGUACACUUUAAAUACUUUAACGAGUACCAAUUGGAGGGCAAGUCUGGUGCCAGCAGCCGCGGUAAUUCCAGCUCCAAUAGCGUAUAUUAAAGUUGUUGCGGUUAAAAAGCUCGUAGUUGGAUCUGUGUGCCACGCUGUCGGUUCGCCGCCCGUCGGUGUCAACUGGCAUGUCUGUGGGACGUCCUGCCGGUGGCGGUACGGGCUGCCGGCGCUGCGUAGGGGCACAACCCCGAAGCACGCCGGCGUGUCCCGGUCCGCCGAUCCAAUCCCGCCGCGGUGCUCUUCACUGAGUGUCGAGGUGGGCCGGCACGUUUACUUUGAACAAAUUAGAGUGCUCA